RNAcentral lists this ribosomal RNA (3478 nucleotides) under Triticum aestivum (bread wheat). Its description in RNAcentral is "partial small subunit ribosomal RNA". The record is from RNAcentral. Lineage: Eukaryota; Viridiplantae; Streptophyta; Magnoliopsida; Poales; Poaceae.
ACCGCAUUGUUCCACCUUGCUGUCCUCCCAAAGUCCCAGUCCCGUAUCCCCAUCUGGCGGCGGUCGCCGGAGCUGGGCAGGGCCGGUAGCAGGCAUGGAGGCUGCGGUGGCGAGCGCCCUGACCAAGGAGGUGGUGCUGAAGCUGGUCACGCUGCUGAGUGAGAAGCACAAGCUGUCCAAGGGCCUCAAGGGCGACCUCCGCUUCAUCCACACCGAGCUCGACAUGAUCCUCUGCGACAUGGACGAGCACCUUGGAGAUCCGAGCCACAGCUCACGGCGGCCGCAGGUGGUGUCCAUGGAGGAGAUGCGCGAUCUGGCGCACGACAUUGAGGAUUGCAUCGACCGGUUCCUCCCCUGCGCCGCCUGCGAGGGGGAAGCAGCCUCCGUCCUCCGCCGCGUCAAGAAGGCGGUCACCGGCAACAGAUCCCGAUUCGCGGCGGAGAUCCGGAAGCUCCGGCAGAGGGUCAAGGACGCGCACGAGCGACGGGUCAACUAUGGCGUCAACGGCGUGAGAUCUGCCGCCGGAGCUGGAGCAGCAGCUCCCCCUGCGGUCGCAGACGCGGCCGAGGCCGACCCUGUGGGUAUCGACAGGCCCAGGCAGGAGCUGGUCGAGCUGCUGCUGGGCAGCGAGCCGGGGCCUCCCGGCGUGAUAUCCAUCGUGGGGUUCGGCGGCUCGGGGAAGACGACGCUGGCCAGGGCGGUAUACUGCUGCCCCGGUGUGGUCCAGAGAUUCCCUGCCCGUGCCUGGGCCGCGGGGUCCGAGCACACCUACGCCGGCGGGCUCCUGACGGCGAUACUCCGGCAGCUCCGCCGCACCGUCGAUGUGCCGCAGGACCAAGAUUCCAUCAAUAAUUUCCUGCGGACUACAGAGUGCUUAAUUGUAAUCGAUGACGUCAACAAGCAACACUGGGAUGCCGUAAGAGCCACCUUCCACAGGGAAACAAAGAGCAGAAUCAUCGUAACCACGGCUCUUCACUCUGUAGCUAAUGCUUGCAGCUCAGGAUGUUCACCUGAACUGGAGCGGGGCUCGACAGCAAUUGUGGACAAGUGCGAUGGCCACCCACUUGCUCUUGUUAGUGUGGCCAGAUUUCUGCUAGGCAAGAAUGAGCUCACAGGAAGACACUGCACGCAAGUUUGCCGCAACCUCGGGCUUCAUAUGGAGGAGGCUGCAGACUUCACAAAACUGCAACAGCUUCUUGUAAAUAACUACAGAAGCCUGUCUGACUAUCCUCUCAAGACCUCCCUGCUAUACACGAGUGUGUUCCCAAACGGCCGUCCAAUCAGGAAGGAUACUUUGAUCAGGCGAUGGUUAGCAGAAGGGUAUGUGCAAUGCAGGUACAAGCGCAGUGACCUGGAGGUGGCAGAUGAAAACUUCCGGAAACUUGUCGACCGGAAUAUCAUUCGGCCGAUCGAUGGUAGCAACAACACAAAAGUGAAGACGUGCAAAACUCAUGGUAUUAUGCAUGAGUUCAUGCUGCACAAGUCCAUGUCUGAUAACUUCAUCACGUCUCUUCAUGAUCAAAAUCGGAGCAAAUUCCGUCACCUCUUCAUCCAGAACCCUGAAGGUGGCAGCACCUUGGGCCUGAACCACCAGCAUACAAGUCCGGCAAGUGACAACAUCUCUGGUAGCAGUGAAAAAUUCCGUGCCCGGUCUCUGACAAUAUUUGGGAAUGUGGGAGAAGCUGCUUCUGAGUUUUGCAGGUGCGAGCUGCUGCGGGUGUUGGAUCUGGAAGAAUGCGACGAUUUGGAGGACGGGCAUCUCAAGGACAUACAUAAGCUGUGGCAUCUGAAAUAUCUGAGCCUUGGGGGUGCUAUCAGCAACCUUCCAAGGAAUAUUGAGAAGUUACACUGUUUGGAGACACUGGACCUUAGGAAGACAAAGAUAGAGAUACUGCCUGCAGAAAUCAUUGGGUUGCCUCACCUAGCUCACCUGUUUGGAAAGUUUAAGCUUGGAAAGGACUUGAAAGUGGGUGAACUGGAGAAGAAGUCCUUACCCAAGAAAUGUAAGCUGCAGACCCUUGCAGGAUUUGUCGCAGACGAGAACCCUGGAUUUCUGCAACUCAUGUCUCAUAUGAAAAAACUGAAGAAGGUUAAGAUAUGGUGUUGUGAGUCCACUGAUGAAAACAAUGAGAGCAUGCCACACAUUUCGGAGGCAGUUCAGAAGUUUGCUCAGGAUGGUAUGGACACGGCAGACGUCCGUUCUCUGACGCUUGAUUUUGGAAAUUCCUCUGGGGGCUUCCUGGGAUCUAUACAAGAAUAUUGUUAUCUCAGCUCGCUGAAACUGCGUGGCAGGCUGACUCAACUGCCUCAGUUUGUUACAUCCCUGUGUGGCCUUACGGAGCUGUGCCUUUCAUCAACUAAUCUCGUGGGGAAUGAUCUAUCAAACCUGUGUAUGAUGCCCUGCCUGCUUUAUCUCAAACUGGUUGAAGCUGACCUUACUGGCUUCAUCAUAAAAGAUAGGGGUUUCCCAAGCCUGUUAAGCUUAUGCCUUAUUAUGCAAAUGCCCGUGCUCCCUACAAUCGGAGCAGGUGCUCUGCCGCGUCUUGUCUCGCUUCAGCUGCUGUGUAAAGAUCUUGUUGGUCUUUCAGGCAUCAAGAUCGAACAGCAUCACUGUCUGCAGGAAGUUGCUCUGGAUUCUAUGGUCAGUGCAAAAACAGUAGACAUGUGGGAAACUGCAGCGAAGAAGCAUCCCAGGAGACCAAAAGUUCUGUUUCUCAAAAGGAUUGGUCCAAGCGAAACUAAGUCCACCGUGAAAUAUGUGGCGGCAGACGAACCAAUACGUGAUAAGGCGUCCUCCGUCGAGUUCAAUCAAGUUCAGUUAACGCAGAAUAUGUUGCAGGACGAAUGCAUGAUCAGUUUAGAUCAAUCCAGUUCAAUGAGCAAACUCAAUUCAGCUAUGAAGAAAAUAAUAGUUUCAGACCCCCCUCCGGAUACACCCGAGCUGUCCAGUUCUGGGAACAGUGUGAUGCCUCCUUCUGCAAGCAUAUGCUAAAGCACCAUUGCUGGAGUUUAGGAACUUGGCCACGGGUUCCAACCUCAUCCAGUGUACAGAAACUCAUUUUUUUCUCUAUGUAUGCGUGAACGGGGACGCGAAGGUUUUGCGUUCUCUCUGUUGUUGGAGUUGGCCAUUUAUUUAGCAGGAGGCGGCAAGACAAGUCGCCCUUUCCGUUUCGACUUUCGAGCAGGGCCUGUGUUAGGGAGUAAAAUGAGCAGUUUUUUUUUUUAGCUGAAAGUGAGCAGGGACUUGUGUCGUCGGAAUUGUUAGUUGUAACAUAUCUUGGUGUAUCAUGUCAUGUUGUAGCAUAUUUGGAGUACUCAGUGUGUGUACAGAUAUGUACUUAAUUAUCUGUAAUGUUACAUGAACUGGAUUUUAUCACUGGCUAUUUGCGAUAGCCUCGGUAGUGAUCGAUGGUUGCCACGAGAUAGUUCCUAAACAAGUGGAAGCAUGCAUGUUGAGAUAAUUAGAGAUAGUAGGAGA